This 307-nucleotide long non-coding RNA is filed under the name Catharus ustulatus (Swainson's thrush). RNAcentral describes it as "lncRNA (ENSCUSG00005001381.1)". Lineage: Eukaryota; Metazoa; Chordata; Aves; Passeriformes; Turdidae. The record is from RNAcentral.
CGUGAGCCAGUCUCCGCUCCCCUCGACGCUUCAGGGCAAGCCGCAGCUGGGUGGGUCGAGGAGGAGCGGAGACCCCUGUGGGAGCCACUCCGGCACGAUUAACCCUCUUCUCCCUCUGCCUUUCCCCGCAGGUGUGGCCGCGCCGUCGAGGCUGGAGGCGCCGCGGGAGCAGCGAGGGCCGCAGGCAGAGAAUGUGGCACAGCCCCUGUUCUGGGACAGAAGGACGGACGUCCGAGGGACAUGGACAUCUCCUCUCAGCUUGGCCACGGUCCAUAUGAUGGAGCAAUGUAUUCAAGCUGUGGGUUGA